Long non-coding RNA from Sarcophilus harrisii (Tasmanian devil), 431 nucleotides. RefSeq lists it as uncharacterized. NCBI's taxonomy places the organism in Eukaryota, Metazoa, Chordata, Mammalia, Dasyuromorphia, Dasyuridae. The transcript has 2 exons. The record is from RefSeq and is a predicted model, not a curated record.
GCUCGCGCGGUGCAAGGUGGGCUUGCCUCCCCACCGUCAGGCCGGCCCUCAUCACAAUGCAAUAGCGGGGAGCCAUGCCGGCGCCCCCCACCGGAGGCGGCCCCGGCCGGCAAAGCCCACCAACGUUUCCACGCGGCUAAGGGGACUCCGGCCGACUAGUGGCUGAGGGGCGGAAGGGCCAAGACCGGAAGGAUUAAGAGCCUUGGCCAGUGUCAUACUUGAGUCCAGCUCUCCUGUCUCUGAAUUCACCUUGUAGUGUAUCUUUUAAGACUUGAAGUACUGAGGAAGACUGGACUUCUCUGUUGUUUUCACUGAUUCAACUUUUGGUUCUUGACUCAAAAUCAAAUAAAUAUACAAAUAAACCAAAGCUUUACUUAAGACAUUUUCCUUCCUUCCUAAAAUGACCAUCAUUAAAGAACUAGUAAUGUUAA